CUAUCCACAGGCUUUAACCAAUGGGCAUACUCAUCAGGUGAAGCAUCAUUACCCUUCUGAAAUUCCUCAACUAGAGCGUUCAACUGAAGCCUCAUUAUCUGAGAGCUUGAACCAAAAGGUCAAGCCUCUGGAUAGUGAUAUACUAGAAGCAGGGCAAGAGAAUCUUGGAAUCAACAGAAAUGGCUCGAGCCUAGAGUUGGAAGCAUCAACAUCAGAAAAGGAUUUGAUGCAGUCCAAGGCUAAAGUAGCGAGAGGUCGUCAAACUCAGAGUGGGCCUCUCAUGCCUGGUAAUGGAUUAGGCCGGUCAU
This 308-nucleotide long non-coding RNA is filed under the name Linum usitatissimum (flax). RNAcentral's name for it is "long non-coding RNA (LUSI_LNC000978)". Lineage: Eukaryota; Viridiplantae; Streptophyta; Magnoliopsida; Malpighiales; Linaceae. The record is from RNAcentral.